AGAGUUUGAUUAUGGCUCAGGAUGAACGCUAGCUACAGGCUUAACACAUGCAAGUCGAGGGGAAACGAUAUUGAAAGCUUGCUUCUUAGGCGUCGACCGGCGAAUGGGUGAGUAACGCGUAUCCAACCUGCCCCUGAGUAAGGGAUAGCCCAUCGAAAGAUGGAUUAAUACCUUAUGGUUUCCUUUGAAGGCAUCUGAUUAGGAAUAAAGAUUUAUCGCUGAGGGAUGGGGAUGCGUCUGAUUAGCUUGUUGGCGGGUAACGGCCCACCAAGGCGACGAUCAGUAGGGGUUCUGAGAGGAAGGUCCCCCACAUUGGUACUGAGACACGGACCAAACUCCUACGGGAGGCAGCAGUGAGGAAUAUUGGUCAAUGGGCGGAAGCCUGAACCAGCCAAGUAGCGUGCAAGGAUGACUGCCCUAUGGGUUGUAAACUGCUUUUAUACGGGGAUAAAGUCAGAGUCGUGACUCUGUUUGCAGGUACCGUAUGAAUAAGGACCGGCUAAUUCCGUGCCAGCCGCGGC
Molecule: ribosomal RNA, 521 nt
Filed under: uncultured bacterium
Lineage: Bacteria
Description: bacterial SSU rRNA
Rfam family: Bacterial small subunit ribosomal RNA
Source: RNAcentral